UCCAGGUAUUUCGGUUUGACUUCCAUUAUUGUCGCUGGAUUCACGGUACUCUUCUGAUUCCAUCGAUACCAAUUACAUGUCUGUAGGACCAAUGACAGUCGAGAUAGAUGCCAUCAAAGCCAAUGAGUCACGUAAGCGAUGAAUCUGACAACCAGUCUUUGAAUGGCCAUAGCGCUGCGUCUGAACGAGCCAAUAAGAUGGGACCUAGAUGUCCGUGUAGCCUAGAGCUUUCUUUAGACACGUGACACAUCGUCACAUUCUACUUCCUUGCCGGCUAAACUCAAUGCGCAAUGGUCAUGCGUAACCAGUCGCCGAAGCAGUGGUUUGGAAGUUUGUUACUAAACAAGCAAGAGGCAUUUUUUUGAAGGUUUUUGUUCGUGAAACAUACCAAAGAGACAAAAAAAGACGACACAUGUCGAAGAACCCGAGGACAUUGAUGACCUGGAGGACAUUGAUGAAGGAGAAGAAAGCAAUUUCUCGACUGAAUGGAGUGCGACUCCGAGGAGGAGCAGAACUUUUUAGCUGGGAAGGACCCUGAUUUUGAGCUCGAUGAAGACUGGGCCCCGCCAAGCAAAAAAAACAAGAGCUGAGGAUCCUGUGUCUGAGGAAGAGGAGCCGGUGGCCGAGAUCAGUGGGACAAGAAGAGGAAAGGGUGCUGCAAGAAGCAGGGAGAGAGGCAGAGGAAGAGGGAGAGGCCAAGGCAGGGGAAGAGGGUGCUCCCACAGCAGACAGGAGAGCGGAGACGCAGAACCAUGGCUUAGGACGGACAUCCAGGACACCAUACCACCACAGCCCACGUUUCGCCCUAUGAGGACUCCUGGCCCCCAGCGUAUCUCUGCACAGUACACAAUAUUAGAACUAUUUUUACCUUUGUUUCAUUUUAUAAUACAAAUGUUCACUGCA
This is a long non-coding RNA of Alosa alosa (allis shad), 903 nucleotides long. RefSeq lists it as uncharacterized. The transcript is spliced from 2 exons. NCBI's taxonomy places the organism in Eukaryota, Metazoa, Chordata, Actinopteri, Clupeiformes, Clupeidae. The record is from RefSeq and is a predicted model, not a curated record.